RNAcentral lists this long non-coding RNA (4763 nucleotides) under Canis lupus familiaris (dog). Its description in RNAcentral is "lncRNA (ENSCAFG00000058616.1)". The record is from RNAcentral. Lineage: Eukaryota; Metazoa; Chordata; Mammalia; Carnivora; Canidae.
UUUUUUUUUAAGAUUUUAUUUAUUCAUUCAUGAUAGACGUGGGGGGUGGGGAGAGAGAGAGAGAGAGAGAGAGAGAGAGAGAGAGAGGCAGAGACACAGGCAGAGGGGGAAGGAGGCUCCACGCCAGGAGCCCAACGCAGUACUGGAUCCCCGGACUCCAGGAUCACGCCUGGGGCCAAAGGCAGGCGCUAAACCGCUGAGCCACCCAGGGAUCCCCUUCUUACUUGUUUUUAUUCGGAUCACCUCAUCCUACCUUGCUCUGCCAAAGGUAAGGCUGUUCAUUGUGUCAAGCUGUCACUCUCCAGAAUGUAGUUCACCUGGUUGUCUUAUGAUCUCAGUUUUUGAUGGAUUCAAGAAAAUUUGUGAUUUUGUCAACUGCCCAGCUCUGUCUCAUCAGUGUGGGAGCAAAGUUCUCUGGAAGCUUUCUCUAUCCUAAAUGGAAGCAAAACCAAAAUCAUCUCCGUCUCUUAUAAUUGAGGCCUAGAAAAAAAAUGGCUUUUCCAUUCUACAAAACUUUGGAUUUUUAAACAAUAUUUACUUUCAUUUUUGUCUGCCAUUUCUUCCUUGAGCUCCUCUCUUUCUUGUAAUACCUAGCCAAAGACAGCCACAUACACUAUUUACAUUUUGUUUUCUAACAUGCUCCCGAACUGCUGGCACACUCUGAUUAUGCUCUGCCUCCCCAAAUGAUUGCAGGUGGAAGCUGUAGAAAAUGUCUUGCUAAUGUAUCAUUUGGAUCAGCAGCAUUUCAACCUGUAAUAUCUGUGUCUUCACUGCUUUCCUUUAAAGAAAUGCAAGAAAACACCUCAGGUGUUUGUUAUGUAGCAUCCAAAAGGGACCAACUUCUAGUCAGGAUGAGUUAUGCUAUGCUGUGCAGAUCUCUGGCUUAACAUAAAGGAUUUGUCUCUAUUACAGGUUUUAUGCACACUGGGGAUCCCUUCUUUAUAUGAUAGCAUUUAGGACGCAUCGCCUCAAAAGUCGCUAUGCCAAUAGAAAGAUGAAGAAAGCACAUUGGCUUUAAAUCACCUUGAUCUAAAAGUGACCCCUGUACUUCUUCUCAUGUUCAUUGGUCAGAGUUACUCAUUGGAGCCAACCUAAACGCAACAAUGUUAAGAAACAGGGGAGGCAGGAACCCUGGGUGGCUCACUGGUUUAGCACUGUCUUCGGCCCAGGGCAUGAUCUUGGAGACCCGGGAUCGAGUCCCAUGUCAGGCUCCCUGCAUGGAGCCUGCUUCUCCCUCUGUGUCUUUGCCUCUCUCUCUCUCUCUCUUUCUCUCUCUCUCUCUCUCUCUGUCUCUCAUGAAUAAAUAAAUAAAAUCUUAAAAAAAAAAAAAAGAAACAGGGGAGGAAAUGGAUAUUACCUUUGUUACCCUAUACUCUGUUUUUCCAAUAUGUGAUCAGCAAAGGAAUAAGACUACCCUUUCUCUUAUUACUAUGUUGAAUCAGAGUUAGUAAAUAUAUGUCAGACGUAGCAUCAUCUCGUAAUGCACUAGGCAGGGCUCAGGCCACCUUAAAUUGGUCAUUAACUCCUGCUCUCCCCUUCCUUAUAUUUUCCCAUGAGGCUCAGAUGAAACUAACAUUGGAGGACAUUUAAGCUCAUACAGCUCCUCCAUGCCCAUACAUCACUACAAAUGAUUUUCAGGCCUUGAAAGCACUGAUAACCAGAGGUGACGUUAGACUGGCACACACCAAUGUGGUACACUGUCCUUUAUACCCAAGAGCCAUUCGGGCUGGUUGAGUAUCCAUCCUGCUGGAUCAGAGCCCAUGCCUUAUGAUUAUUUAUUGUUCUGACUACCACUUCUUCUUCUUCUUCUUUUUUUUUUUUUUUUUCUGACUACCACUUCUGUUUACUAUUCAAAUAUACCAAAUUACUUCUAGAUUGUACUAGAUCCUCCCAGGGCUUAGUGUUUUUUGUUUUUAGACACCAAUUCAAACCAAACAACAUGAAUGAUAAUGUAAAGAUUUAUGUUAAGUUUCCUUAAAAAGGCAGCCCAGAAGGCUUGCUCAGAGCGUAUCACCUGAACCUUUCCAUACAUCCUCUCUUUGCCUCAUUUAGAACUUUUCACUCAUGGCGACAGACAAAAUUUCCUUUUUCUCUUUGUGCACACAGUCAUAUUUCUAUGAAAUGGCUUUUUGAGUUCAUAUUCUUUUCCUAUCUUGCCUCCUUUUCCUCUACAAACUGUACACCUGGCCCUCCCUGCUGCACAAGGCCAUUUGGUAGGGUAGACUGAUCCUACCGGGCUGUUUUACCAGGACUUAGAAAUCUGGUGAAUAUAUUCAUUAGUCACUAUUUUAUUUUAGAUCAUACCAAUUCUUACAUCAAUGAUACUCAGAUUUUUGUCACAAGAAAAAAUGAGAAGACACCACUCUCAAGAUGCUGACUUUUAUUUUUUGUGCCAUAGGCAGAAGCUGAGUAGCUGGCUCACCAUAUUGCAUUGAGCAGGUUUUCAGAAAAAGAGUGUUUCUAUCUCAGUCAUUGCUGAUGAAACCCUCCAUAAGACUGGAAUCUGCCAACUUCAUCACAAAUGUAUGUGAACGACAGAUUUUCCCUGCCUCAGACAUUAACAAACUGCAGAUGGUAAAUAGUUCUUUGCUUUAAAAGCUAGAUUUAUUUCACAGUCUGCUAAAAUGCAAAUACCCAAAAAAGAACACAGCUCCUUGCUGCCACAGGUUUGCCAAAGUCUUUGUUCUCAAAUAAUCUUAAAUAUAACUGCCCUUUGAGAAGUUAUACUCUUGGAAUAAGCAAAAUUUAAUGCUUGAGUAAUCAAACUGAUUUUGUCCAUGAUAUUAUUAUAAUUUUUAAGAGAAAAAUAGCAUCAAUCCUCAUAGAAACUGCCCUUCUCUAAUAGAUAGCUUGAAAUCGCAAUUAUUUUUCUCCCUUCUUCCAAAAAAGAUAUAUAGAUGAAAGACAGACAAACAGGCAAUUAUUUAACAGAUAAAGGGACAAAUGGAUAAGUGAAAAUGGAACAGAAACUAACAUCACAGAGAAGCACAGUGCUCGGCUAAUUGGGGGCUAAUGCACCUAUGUGACAAUAAAGAAUUAAUAAGGAUUCUUCUGGUCUUAAUGGUGAUGUAAUAAAGACCCUGAACUCACCUCCUAAAUGGACACACUAAAUCUACACUUAUUUAUAGAGCAAUUCCUCCUAAAGAAGAACUGAAGGCUGAUUGAAUAGUUUCUGCACAACACAUGAUAAAGAGAUCACAAAGAGAACAGCAAAAGAGAUGGAGACCUGGUAAUGAAGGGAACCCUGACCUUCUAGUGCUGCAAGCUGUAGCGGAGAAUGGUAGUACUGAGGGACUGUGAGCAGAUUUGUCUGCCCUGGGGCACAGAAAAAAAAAAUAGCUGUGACUAAAAAGAGCAACUUGAAUAUAUGGGAACCAAUCCUAGGACCCUGCCAAAAUGGGGGGUGGUUGCUGGAACUCUCUCCAAGUCAGAGGGGCUGGUGAGUGCCAUGGCUUCUAUUCCCCUUGCCUUCCACUAAUGUAAGCCAACUAUGGCUCCUGGACAGACUGAAGUAGGGUCUUGCCUUAGUGAGCCCCAGGCCCCUAGCUCAUACCAAUCCAAGCUAUCACACCAGGGCAGUGUGCACACCACGACCCCCUUGCUCAGUGCUUACUACAGUUCCAACCAUUUUGUCAAAGUGACACAGGCACAAGGUACCCUGAAACACUCUAGGCCAAUCACACCUCAGGGCCAAAUGAUGUGGUUGGGUAUCUUGAUGCAGGGCAUUCUGAGACCUGGAAGGCCAGGGUGCCCUGCAUGAGGAGUGCCCUGGAACUCCUAACCAGCACCUACUUUGGGUCCAAUUGUCAAGCAAAUCUUGUGCUGAGUACCCAGGACACCUACACCUCCACCUAUUUCAAUUCCAGCUGUUCUGCCAUGAUGCUCACUGUAUGGAGGUCCCUGGAACCCCAUGUUAGCUUCACCAGUCCUGCCUGGGCACCCUCUGCAUAAAGAGCCAAGAAACAUGCCCACUUCAGCUCUGGUCAUAAGAGAGGGCAGCUCCAGCACGGAGUGCUCUGGGAUCCCCUAGCCCACACAAGCCACAGCUCUGGCCAGACAGCCAUAGUCACCAGUCACACAAAAUCUUUACAGGGGACUACCAUACACAGACCAUCACUUCAAGCUUAGGAGAAGUAGUUGUUCUACCCACUUCAUAGGAACAAACACAGGAAUUCAAGAAAAUGAGGAGACAGAGGAAUAUGCUCCAAAUGAAAGAAGAAGACAAAACCUCAGAAAAAGAACCAAAUGAAAUAGACAUAAUCUACCUGAUAAAGAGUUCAAAGUAAUGGUCAUAAAGAUGGUCACCAAGACUGGAGAAAGGAAUGGAUAGACUCAGUGAGAACUCCAACAAAGAACCAAUCAGAGUUGAAGAAUACAAUAACUGAAAUGAAAAAUACACUAGAGGGAAUCAACAGCAGGUAAAACACGCAGAAGAAUGAAUCAAUGAUCUGGAAGACAGGGUAAUGGAAAGCACCCAAGUUGAACAGCAAAAAUGAAAAAGAAUUAAAAAAAAAAAGAUAGGUUAAGGGAUCUCUUGAACAAUACCAAGUGAAUAAACAUUUGCAGUAUAGGAGUCUCAGAGGGAGAGGAGAGAUAAAAGGGGGCAGAAAACUUCCUUGAAGAUACAAUAACUGAAAAAUUCCAUGAAGUGGGAAGGAAACAUAUACCCAGGUUUAGGAAACCCAGAGUUCCAAAGAUGAACCCAAGGAGGUCCACACCAUGACACAAACUAAUUAAAGUAUAAAAAAUUAAAGACAAAGAAU